UACAGAGGGGGCAAGCGUUAUUCGGAAUUAUUGGGCGUAAAGGGCGCGUAGGAGGCCGAGCAAGUCUUGGGUGAAAUCCCUCGGCUCAACCGUGGAACUGCCUUGGAAACUGCUUGGACCGAGGCCGGGAGAGGAUGGUGGAAUUCCCAGUGUAGCGGUGAAAUGCGUAGAUAUUGGGAGGAACACCAGUGGCGAAAGCGGCCAUCUGGACCGGUCCUGACGCUGAGUCGCGAAAGCGUGUGGAGCAAACAGG
RNAcentral lists this ribosomal RNA (253 nucleotides) under uncultured bacterium. RNAcentral's name for it is "partial 16S ribosomal RNA". It matches the Rfam family "Bacterial small subunit ribosomal RNA", at positions 524 to 776 of the family's 1533-position model. The record is from RNAcentral.